CCUGGCGGCAUGCCUAACACAUGCAAGUCGAACGGAAACGAUGGAAGCUUGCUUCCAGGCGUCGAGUGGCGUGCACGGGUGAGUAAUACUUAGGAAUCUGCCCAUUAGUGGGGGACAACUCGUAGGAAACUCGAGCUAAUACCGCAUACGCCCUACGGGGGAAAGCGGAGGAUCUUUCGGGACUUCGCGCUAAUGGAUGAGCCUAAGCCGGAUUANCUAGUUGGUGGGGUAAAAGCCUACCAAGGCGACGAUCCGUAGCUGGUCUGAGAGGACGAUCAGCCACACUGGGACUGAGACACGNCCCAGACUNAUACGGGAGGCAGCAGUGGGGAAUAUUGGACAAUGGGCGCAAGCCUGAUCCAGCAAUGCCGCGUGUGUGAAGAAGGCCUGCGGGUUGUAAAGCACUUUCAGUAGAGAAGAAAAGUUUAGGGUUAAUACCCCUGAAUCUUGACGUUACCUACAGAAGAAGCUCCGGCUAACUCCGUGCCAGCAGCCGCGGU
This 500-nucleotide ribosomal RNA is filed under the name uncultured Gammaproteobacteria bacterium. Its description in RNAcentral is "bacterial SSU rRNA". It matches the Rfam family "Bacterial small subunit ribosomal RNA", at positions 36 to 521 of the family's 1533-position model. The record is from RNAcentral. Lineage: Bacteria; Pseudomonadati; Pseudomonadota; Gammaproteobacteria.